CGCCUUUCUGCGUCCUUUCUCCGAGCAGCAGCCUCAUCAGCAGGAUAGGUGAACUGCACGCUGUAGUAUAGGUCAGGUUGCUGCU
This is a non-coding RNA of Mesorhizobium sp. LNHC252B00, 85 nucleotides long. The record is from Rfam. Lineage: Bacteria; Pseudomonadati; Pseudomonadota; Alphaproteobacteria; Hyphomicrobiales; Phyllobacteriaceae.